UGGGGAAUAUUGCACAAUGGGCGAAAGCCUGAUGCAGCAACGCCGCGUGAGUGAUGAAGGUCUUCGGAUUGUAAAGCUCUGUCUUUUGGGACGAUAAUGACGGUACCAAAGGAGGAAGCCACGGCUAACUACGUGCCAGCAGCCGCGGUAAUACGUAGGUGGCGAGCGUUGUCCGGAUUUACUGGGCGUAAAGGGUGCGUAGGCGGAUGUUUAAGUGAGAUGUGAAAUACCCGGGCUUAACUUGGGUGCUGCAUUUCAAACUGGAUAUCUAGGGUGCAGGAGAGGAGAAUGGAAUUCCUAGUGUAGCGGUGAAAUGCGUAGAGAUUAGGAAGAACACCAGUGGCGAAGGCGAUUCUCUGGACUGUAACUGACGCUGAGGCACAAAAAGCGUGGGUAGCAAACAGGAUUAGAUACCCUGGUAGUCCACGCCGUAAACGAUGAGUACUAGGUGUAGGAGGUAUCGACCCCUUCUGUGCCGCAGUAAACACAUUAAGUACUCCGCCUGGGAAGUACGAUCGCAAGAUUAAAACUCUAAAGUGAAUUGAC
RNAcentral lists this ribosomal RNA (546 nucleotides) under uncultured bacterium. RNAcentral's name for it is "partial 16S ribosomal RNA". It matches the Rfam family "Bacterial small subunit ribosomal RNA", at positions 355 to 914 of the family's 1533-position model. The record is from RNAcentral.